UACAGGGGGUGCUAGCGUUGUUCGGAAUUACUGGGCGUAAAGGGCGCGUAGGCGGUUUAGCAAGUCAGAUGUGAAAGCCCGGGGCUUAACUCCGGAAGUGCAUUUGAAACUGCUAGGCUAGAGUGCAGUAGAGGUUAUUGGAAUUCCCAGUGUAGAGGUGAAAUUCGUAGAUAUUGGGAGGAACACCAGUGGCGAAGGCGGCCCACUGGUCCGGUACUGACGCUGAGGUGCGAAAGCGUGGGGAGCAAACAGG
Molecule: ribosomal RNA, 253 nt
Filed under: uncultured bacterium
Lineage: Bacteria
Description: partial 16S ribosomal RNA
Rfam family: Bacterial small subunit ribosomal RNA
Source: RNAcentral